GGUUGGUCUGAGUGCAGUGGUGCUUACAACUAAUUGGUCACAACCAAUUACAGAUUUAUUUGUUCAUUUUCCACUCCGACUGCUUCAGUUGACUGGCCAAAA
Macaca fascicularis (crab-eating macaque) is the source of this 102-nucleotide Y RNA. It matches the Rfam family "Y RNA". Rfam says of the family: Y RNAs are components of the Ro ribonucleoprotein particle (Ro RNP), in association with Ro60 and La proteins. The Y RNAs and Ro60 and La proteins are well conserved, but the function of the Ro RNP is not known. In humans the RNA component can be one of four small RNAs -- hY1, hY3, hY4 and hY5. The record is from Ensembl. NCBI's taxonomy places the organism in Eukaryota, Metazoa, Chordata, Mammalia, Primates, Cercopithecidae.